GAUCCUGGCUCAGGAUGAACGCUGGCGGUGUGCUUAACACAUGCAAGUCGAACGAAGCACUUAAGAUUGAUUCUUCGGAUGAAGUCUUUUGUGACUGAGUGGCGGACGGGUGAGUAACGCGUGGGUAACCUGCCUCAUACAGGGUGAUAACAGUUAGAAAUGACUGCUAAUACCGCAUAAGCGCACAGGGUCGCAUGACCUGGUGUGAAAAACUCCGGUGGU
This 222-nucleotide ribosomal RNA is filed under the name uncultured bacterium. Its description in RNAcentral is "partial 16S ribosomal RNA". It matches the Rfam family "Bacterial small subunit ribosomal RNA", at positions 15 to 219 of the family's 1533-position model. The record is from RNAcentral.